RNAcentral lists this long non-coding RNA (6445 nucleotides) under Sus scrofa (pig). Its description in RNAcentral is "lncRNA (ENSSSCG00000062170.1)". Lineage: Eukaryota; Metazoa; Chordata; Mammalia; Artiodactyla; Suidae. The record is from RNAcentral.
CCCUCUAGCCAGACUUGAGAAGCCUUACUGGGUACAGUGGAGUGAAGUUGAGUAAAAGUGGAUUAUUUUUCUCUUUCUAUGUUCCACAGCUAUGCUCAUUCCUUAGCUUGCCAACUUCUAUUUUAUAUCCCUCUGGAACAAACAGGUGCCCAGGAGAUUAAAAUUUCAUGGGGGGAGGCAGAGAGGAACAGGAGAGGGAGGUGAGCAGAAAGGUUCCAACUUGUUUAAAACUGUAGUGGUACAAUGUUAUAAUCUCUGUAAGUUAGCUAAAUAACAGAAUUUAUCUGUGAGUUUGUCUUUUGCAGUUCCAUUGUUUAUUGUAGCUGAUCACUCACUCUUACCUUGGGCACUAAGCAUCUAGAGUUGGAUAUAGCUUUUUUUGGAAAGGUCCAUUUGCCACCUAUGCUGCACUAUUAGAAAGCAAGUGAGGGUGGUCCACACAACCUCCCUAGUAUGUAGAAUCCACAAUUUCUCCUCAGGAUAUAGUCAUGCACUCUUGGCCCAUGAAACUCUUUAAUAUGCAAAUUUUCCUGCCUGUGUUGUGUUUUCAGGCAUGAAUAAAACACCAGUCUUAAACUGAGGAGGACAAUUCUGAAACAUAGUCUCCAUAAAGAUUCUCUCUCUUGAACUGAGUAUAGGAGGAAACAAACUCAUACCUAGGGCAAAAUUUAGCUCUCACUAAAACUCCAAUUAAAAAAUAGAACAAAACUAAUUCCACCAAUGUCCUCACAGUCUAUAUGCUUGAUAUGGAUGAGGAGAUUUAAAAAUGACAGCAUUAGGUACCUAUGAUCUUUUUUGCAUACAAUGAUAGUGUCAUCAAAAUUCACUUUAUCCUUGGGUUUCUGUGGAAAACUCCACUUUAAUGUGAUGUUAUGUCUGCUAGAAAAAAAUAACUCUAUAAAAAUCCUGUUUCCUAGGGUUUAGAAGCUCAGGUUCUGAAAAGAGACAACAUGGGUUCAAAUCUGUUGUUUUCAUCAGGUGUGCAAUGUUCAAAAACAGUUUUAAGAUUCUAAACCUUGGUUUUUAUCUCAAAAGUGGAAGAUAGAACAGAAUGCACCUGGAGAUUAUUGGUAAGAUAAACAAUUUAAUAUAAAGAACCAGUGUGUCUGCAACAUGGUAAAUUCUCAAUACAUAAUAACAAAAUAAUCUUCAUUGGUUACCACCAAAGUUCUACUUCUGUAUCAGUAUGUAACAGUCAAAUAUACUUUAAUUUGAAUAUUAUUUCUCUGAAAACAUGAUUAAACAAACAAAACUAAAUGAACAGUAUCAUUGUUCAAAUGACUGCACUUUGAUGAAAUAAUACAUUUCUGUGACACUUGAAUACAUAUUACAGUUUUCCAUUGCUUUUCUCUCCUAUUUUCUACCCUCUAUUUGCCUAUCCCUUUAUUUUCAGAUUUUUUUCUUGUUUUCAGCUAUCUUCUUUCUAUCUUUUCCCUUAUGUAUAAACCCCAUGUCCAUAUAUAAAUCAAGAAAUCAUCCAGCUUUUAAAAGUUGCUAAUAACUACUUAUAUUUUGAAUAUUUUAAAAAACUUCAAUAAACUGAAAAUGUCAAUGAGUUUGUUUUACCUUAGCUGAAGAGACAAUGUUUACAAUUUAGACUCAUCAGCUAUGAAUAAGGAAAAAAAAAUAACAAUCACAAUUGAAUCCUUGUUAGAAGAUCCCUAUUGAAAGGUAAAUCCUCAUGUGACAAAGAUUUUCCGUUUAUUACAUGGGAUCUAACAUCUAUUGUCUGUCUCUGAAAGCUGUCUGAAUUGAUCACAAUAAAUAGAGACAAGCUUAGCAGAAUGAAUGUCUUUCAUAAUCAUGCUUUACAUGGGUGUUGGAAUAGGGUGAUAACUUCCUGUUCUGUUCUAUUUUAUAGGAGCAGGAGAAAUUACAUGGAUGAAAGAGAAUCAGGCAGAUUAUUCCCUUUAGUUCCCCUAAAUUUCUUAUAGUUAAGGGUGAUAUAAGACCAGGAGAUGAAAAAAAAAAAAUCAAGUUAGACACAACAUUGAAAGCAUAGCAUUACUAAAAGAAGAGUUCUUUAUGAUCAAAGCUGAGGAAAAUUUUGUAGACAGGAAGUACAGAAAUAAAUGGUCUAGUCAUUUAACAGACUUUCAAAAUUUGUAUUACCCAGAGGUAGAUAAGUUAUGAGUGUAGAACUUCCUUUCUUCUACCAAAAAAAAGGGUAAAAUUAAUCCUUCCUCAAAACAAUCUCUAACACAUGUUAAGUAAUAAAUAUUUAUCUUCAGCUGCUUCCACCCAACUUGUUCCCAUGUUUUAUUCCCAUUAGGAGACAUAUUCAACAAUUAAAAUAAAUAGGUCAACAUAAUAGAUAACAAUGAAAACAGCUCUGCUGUUAUUAAUGAUUUAUAAGAAAUAAUUGUAAAUAAAGGAUAUCAUCUUUUCUUAUUUCCAUGCCAUUGAUAUUGAUCAUUUUUAAUAUCUCUAUAUACUUAUAUUGUCCUAAAAAUAAACACAAGAUUUAUAACCACAUAGAUUCAUUUUCUUCCAAUCUUUCUCCUUUCUGGGCCAAUGCAAAGAGAGCUAGAUGGACAGGGAUAUGUUAUGUAUAUAAAAUGGUCUGAAGUAAAAGGGAGGAACCCUAAAAAUAUGCAUCUGUGAGCUCAUAGAUGCACUGUCUCCCUUUCCUUUCACAGGAGGAAGAGUAACUCAAUCUCCUUGAUGAAAACAAAUAGUCCUUGGGAGAAAAGAAAAGAGGAAGGACCGUGGGAAUGUAAGUAAUUUCUCUAGGGAAAGAGAAGACAAGUAAUUCAAUGUUUCAACCUUUGGAAAGUUUCUGGAUUUUAUCCCUGUUUGACAUUUUAAAAAUACAAUUUCAUAAAGUAAAAUCCUUUACUAUCCAUUCAGUCAUUUUCCAAGUAAAGUGUUGUCCUUUCAUUUAGGUCCCAAGUUUCUGUUUUAGUUUUGUUCAGAAAGCCCUAACCAUAUAGAAACUUGAAAACAUUUUCUCUACGAUCUUACAAAUAUCAAGUAUCAUAUUCCGUUCUUUUAUAUACAUUUGUGGUAUAAGAUUUUUUUUUUAAUUCUGACUUUUUUUUUCUCUCAUCGUGACAUUCACUUUUUAUUGAUCAAAAUGUUAACUUUUCAUGGUAGAUGUCUCUGGUCUUUGCAAAAGCUCUUCUUUUAGUUACAUGUAUAAAUCUCUAAGGCUUAGGUUGUGGUUUUCAUUCUAAUAAUAUCAGAGAGAAAAGGAAUUGAAAAUAUCAAAUAGAAAAUGAUGGGAGUAAAAGUAGACCACAGCCUACACAAUGCAUCUGGGAGUGACCAAAGCUCAACAUUUCAUCUGGAAAAAUAAUAGAAAUAGAGGUGCAGUGAUGAGGUAAUUUGUCCAAUGAUGUUGUCUGGGGUGCAAUGCUAAUUUAAGUUUGUUUUGUAAGGUUUUGUAUCAUUCUUUAAUCCUAGAUACUCAAGAAAAAAUACUAUCUCAGUAGAAUAACAAUAGAUUCAGUACACUCCAACUUUCAGUCAUAUACCUUAAGAGGUUAUAGCAAGUAAAAAUGUUUACCCCAAAUUGCCUAAAAAAUGAGAUUAAAAAAAUUGAUCAUCAGCUACUGGUAUGAACAUUGUUCCAGUGACCCUAGAAACAUGAUUCACCCUUCCACCAGGCAGUAAAAUGAAACAACCCUAAACCCACCUAGGCACUUUCUGUAAAUUGUUCCAGUGACCACUCAUUGAUACUUUUAUCCUAGUUGAUGUCUAUGGGACACCAUAUGCUAUAUCAAUAGUAAUAUUUCUCUUUAUACUAUAAUUCUCCACACACUAAUAUUCUCCAUAUAUUCUAACAAAUUUUCAUAUUAGUAAAGUACAUAUGAAGUUCUAUACAUGGUUCUGGCACUUGGUGUGCAAUAAUUUACUUUAAUAUGCACAAAGGAUUAAUUAGUAUCCCUAUUUACUCAUGAGCCUCAAAGAGACCAAAUAAAGUGCUCACAGUCACUCAGCAUGUUGAGACUUGGUUUGAGUCCAGGUUACCUGGCUCCAGAGACCACAUUCUUCACCAUUUUUCCGUAGUGACUUUUAUAAAUGCAACCCCAAAGUAAUGUUUGUAAAUAUAUCAUACAAACUCAGACCAGUUGGCAUAGGACAAUGUAAGAGAAAUAUUUCAGGAGAAUUCUGAUGUCAGAGAAUGUAAUAAGCAAUAAUUUCUAAAUUUAGUCCAUGCAUAGUUCCCAAACUGGUCAUUGCCUUUAUUUUCAGCAGCUGAAGAAAUGGCAGUAAUUCAUAGAAAAUCAUUUGUCUGGGGGAAAUAGGCAAAAAUUUCAAUCCAUGAGUGUUAUAAAGAACAUUUAACUUUUUUUUUUUUUUUUACUUUCCUCACCUUUACAACAUGAUCUAUGAUACCUUUAAAUUUGACUUAAAUGUGUAUAGAAGAUGUCAUAAUGUUAAUAUGCCUCAUAUCAUAAAUUCUAUAGGUAUAUUUAAGAAAAAUAUCCAACCAACAUUCUAAAUUGUGCUGUGCAAAUGUUUACACAGAAAAGACAACCCCUAUAUGGUAAAUGCAUAACUCUAACUUUUAUGGUAAAUCUAAUUUUUUUCUAUUAUUUCCCACAGAAUAUUGUUUUCUGAUAUUUUAUCACAAAAUUAGCCAGGUUAUUGGGAUGUAAAAAUAUCCAAUUAUCUACCUAUUCAUUUAUUUCAUUAAAAAUAUCUAAUUUUGGGGGUUCCCAAUGUGGCUUAGAGGUAACAAACCUGACUAGGAUCCAUGAGUUGCGGGUUUGAUCCCUGGCCUUUCUCAGUGGAUUAAGGAUUCAGUAUUUCCCUGAGCUGUGGUAUAGGUCACAGAUGUGGCUCAGAUCUGGUAUUGCUGUGGAAUAGGCCAGCAGCAGUAACUCCAAUUAGACCCCUAGCCUGGGAACUUCCGUAUGCCAUGGAUGCAGUGCUAAAAAGCAAAAACAAAACAAAACAAAACAAACAAACAAACAAAAAAAUGCUUCCCUUGUGCAGAGGUUGGUCCUGGGAAUAUAAUGCUAAAUAAAGGAAAAUCACUGUAUCAUGGAGCCUACACACUGAAUGAGUUUGGGAAGAACUGAGGAAAGUGGCUCAGGAAAAAUUACAAAAUGAAUAGUGAAAAUCAGUGUACAGUACUACAUUCAGAGCGAAGUAUAUAAAUUUUUACACCAUUAUAACAAAGUUAAAAAUAAAAAUGACAUACAUUCUCCACAGGGAGACAAAUCUGACCAUCAAUACCAGACAAAUCUGGCCAGUAUAGGUACAUCAUCAAUUGUUGAAUAAUACAAUUUCAUUGUCUAAAUACAAUUUCAAUCUUUCAAAUGAAAUUCUGAUCACUAGUUUUUGACCUGAUCAUUUUUAAUUGUCUAUGAAUUGGCUUCAGCAUUCAUACCACAAUACACAUUAUUAGCAUAUUAGAGGCAUCCUUAACUUAUGAAAUAACUUAGCUAAGAUAUGUUAUGGGAUAAAAAUAUAAGUGUAAAUGCAUAAAUGUCACAAACUAAUCUGAACUAAAAACUACUACCAAAAUGUAAUCCAGUAUAAUAAAUAAUUAUUGCAGAAGUGGAUCAAGAUGGCAGAGGGGUAAGAUGUCUUAACUCACCUUCUCCUACAAAUACAUAAAAAAAAAAAUCUACAUAUAAAAUGACUGAGACAGAACAUCUACUGAACUCUGGCAGAAGAACUUAAACCUUCAAAAAGGGCAAUAAACUCUUAACAUAAUUGGGUAGAACAAAGAAAAAAGAGAGAGAGAAAAUGAGUCAGGAUGGUACUAGCAUUCUCGAGAGGGAUCUGUGAAAGAGAAAAAGAACCAACAUCCUGGGAAGCCACCUAACCAGCUGGAGAUAAGCCAAGAUGGAGUGACCUCAAAAUCACCAAGAAAAGUGCAGCAGCUGGACUGAGGAGGGCUAAGUAAAGUGAGAACCACACAGAUCAUCUGCACCACUGCCCUGGAUGCCACAGCUUGAGAUGCUCAGGUGGGGGCAGGGUCCUGAGAUUUAAGCUCUGGAAGCCAGUCCCUGGGAGAGGACCAGGUUUGGCUGUGUGGGGACAGCCUAAGGAGCUAAGGAGCAGAGUGCUAUGGGAUGGGGAGUGGAACGCCAUGGCAGAGGGAACCAGGAAGAAGGUAGGUGUCCACAAGAGAAGCAAGACAUCAUUUUGGGGGAGGGAAAGAGGAUGAGGGGUGGACCACCAUAAGAAUCUACCUGACCAUGCAUGUGUGUGCAGGCUCUCAGAGGCCAGGGCACCUCUGUUACAGGCUAUGUGUGGUGAGAAGCCACUUGCUCAACUAUGAGAAACUGGGCACUUCUUGUGCAGGCUACGGGUGGCCAGGCACCACUUGUGUGGGCUAAGGGCAGCAGGGGGCUGAGUGUGACAUUCCAUGAUCUACAGGUGGCAGGAACAGACAGUGGAGGUUGUCUCCAAGGCCAGAGUGAGGUGUGGCCUGCCACCACUGGCCUGUGAGUGGGCUCCACCUGUGGCCCCAGGCACCUCAGGG